RNAcentral lists this transfer RNA (76 nucleotides) under marine sediment metagenome. RNAcentral describes it as "tRNA-OTHER". It matches the Rfam family "tRNA". From Rfam's summary of the family: Transfer RNA (tRNA) molecules are approximately 80 nucleotides in length. The record is from RNAcentral.
CGCGACGUGGCUCAAGUAGCAGAGCGCCCCCUGACGAUCUGUGGGGGAGGCGCGGGUGCAAAUCCCGUCGUCGCUA